AUGGAAUACCGUCGGCAGUCAAUCACCAUGACGAAAAGAAGCCGUGGGACUGUCCUCGACGACCUCCCCGAGUGGAUUGUCAUCGAAGAGAUCCUCAUCCGGUUGCCACCAAAGGACGUUCUUCGCUGCCGUGCUGUCCGCAAAUUGUGGUGCAGUGCCACCUCCACCGACAAGUUCAUGCUCGACAACUGCCUACGCCAGCCGUCACUCCCUGUUAUCAACCAGGAUAUCCCUGGGCAGGAAGGAGUGACCUUCGUUGUCUUCCAUGACAACGGUGUCGGAGCCUCCAAUCAAAAGCUCUGGCCAAUCAUUCAACACUCUAAGUUCCAUAAUCUCCUGGGGGGCUGUGAUGGCUUUCUCAUCUUGUCCGAUGCAUCCCAUUUCUGGAUCUGCAAUCCGGCCACUCGCAGAUGUGCUCCGCUACCACAACCUCAAGUUCCAUCAGCAGGGGGGUCCUGCUUCUACAUAGCUGGCUUUUACCGGCACCAUCCAUCUGGAGAAUACCGCGUGCUCUGGUUCUCGCAUGGCCAUGAACGUGGCUACAUUCUCUCAGCAGGAUCUGACAAGCCGAGAAUGAUUAGACGGCCGUCAGUGUCAUCAUGUUUGUCGAAAUUUAGGCGUGAAGGGCCUUUUGAUUCCUGCUAUAGUUCACAAGUCAACCACCGCGGCAGCCUGCACUGGUUAACAGGAAUCUACAUGAAGACUGCUGUGGACAUUAUGGUGUUUGACACAAUUACUGAGACGUUCCGGUGGAUGCGCAGUCCUGACCAGUUGGGCUGCCGGGUGUCAUUGUUGGAGAUGGGCAACAGGCUUGCUUCAUGCAGCAACAAUGAUGGCAGCAUAGAGAUUUGGGUGAUGCAAGACUAUGAGGCUGAGGCCUGGGCCUUGAAUUACAGGAUUAACUUGGUAGCGAUGAAGACAUCACCAUAUUUCUAA
RNAcentral lists this ribosomal RNA (936 nucleotides) under Triticum aestivum (bread wheat). RNAcentral describes it as "partial small subunit ribosomal RNA". The record is from RNAcentral. Lineage: Eukaryota; Viridiplantae; Streptophyta; Magnoliopsida; Poales; Poaceae.